UACGUAGGGACCAAGCGUUGUUCGGAUUUACUGGGCGUAAAGGGCGCGUAGGCGGCGUGACAAGUCACUUGUGAAAUCUCCGGGCUUAACUCGGAACGGCCAAGUGAAACUGUCAUGCUAGAGUGCAGAAGGGGCAAUCGGAAUUCUUGGUGUAGCGGUGAAAUGCGUAGAUAUCAAGAGGAACACCUGAGGUGAAGACGGGUUGCUGGGCUGACACUGACGCUGAGGCGCGAAAGCCAGGGGGGCAAACGGG
Molecule: ribosomal RNA, 253 nt
Filed under: uncultured bacterium
Lineage: Bacteria
Description: partial 16S ribosomal RNA
Rfam family: Bacterial small subunit ribosomal RNA
Source: RNAcentral